RNAcentral lists this long non-coding RNA (1589 nucleotides) under Salvia miltiorrhiza (redroot sage). RNAcentral's name for it is "long non-coding RNA (SMIL_LNC007781)". Lineage: Eukaryota; Viridiplantae; Streptophyta; Magnoliopsida; Lamiales; Lamiaceae. The record is from RNAcentral.
CCAUAUAUUUUCAAUGUAUAUACAUUCACAUAUUCAUAUAAAUUUACUCAUUAUUAUCACAAAAGGAGUGCUUUAACUAAUAACAAAGCAUCAUAAAAACAUACCUGGAUAUCGUAAUACCAAUCUCUGUUGAUAUAAGAUAUCAUCGCCUAAUAAAUUCCAAGUACUGCUCCACACAUUUUCAGGCCGACUCAUGGAACUUGAAGUAAGCAACGUCACAAAUAACCUUCUCAAAGAUGAAGCAGAAGCCCAAUUACUUGCUUCAACAAUCCCAUCAAUAUAUUCUUUAUCAUCUUCUAACAAACCCAAAGCAUAGCAAGCCUCACGAAAUGUUGAAUAUUGUACACCAUUUACACAUCUAAUAUCCUCAUAAGAAGUCGCACCUCGAACAAUAUUCAACAAACAUCUUAAGUAAAAUGAUUCACCCGAACCUGGUGGAACAUAAUACAAUCUACCUAUAGAAACUCCUUGUUUCCUUGGUUCCCAUCUCCGAUGAUUUUCCGUAAUUUUCCAAACAAAUUUUGUAGGAAAUUCAGGAUAUGUAAACUCCUUAGCUUCUGCAUACAUUUUGUUUGCUUCAAACCAACCUAAGAACAUACUUUCAUGAAUAGUUUCCCUAUUCAAAAUAUUUUCAAGCCGAUCUGCCUCUGAAAAUAUAACCGCAUGCUCACCAGGUAAAUGGUAACUCAAUCUCUCCACAGAAGGUUUUUUGUAUUGGAUUUCAAAUCCAAAUACUCUCCAAGCAGCUUCACAUGGUGAGAUGUAUCUACAAUCAUAAUACUGAUUCACCUCAUCUAUGCCCCUCCCUUCAUCAUCUUCUUCGCUUGAAUUAUAAAAUGAUGCAGUAACACGAUCAUUGCCUUUAUUAAUAUACUUGAAUAAAUACUUGAUCGAUCGUGAUUGAUUACACCAUUCUACAUUAAUAUGAGCACCAUACUUCAAAAGCAAACCACGAUUGUGAGGCACAACAUAUCUAUUGUCCAAAGAUAUACCAUUCUUCAAUAUAACGCGCCCAUUAUUCCGCCUUCUAUAUACAGGAUAUCCGUCAUCAUCAACAGUUGUUGCAUCAACAUAUUUCUUUGGAAAAUACUUCGUACAACGACCAUUCAUCAUACACGGCGAUGAAAUUCUGAGGGCACCACAUGGACCAUGAACCAUGAAUUCUUUAACAGCUUCAUAAUAUUGAGCAUCAUCUAUUGGAUCUGGAAUUUCCGCUGAAAUGAUCUUAUCUAUAUCUUCAGCAUCAGGAUGUUUAUCCUCUUUUGCCAUAAAUAGCAAAAUAUGCGCAUGUGGCAAUCCUCGUUUUUGGAAUUCAAUUGUGUAAACAACUAAGAAAAGAAAGUUUAAUUUAGAAUAUAUAUUGAAUUCAUGAAAAUAUAUGUAUAAAGAAAAUAAUCUAUAUAAAUACCUGCUCGGACCACACCGAAUACUCGAUCAUUGCGAACACUAUGAAUUAGAUUGUCUAACUUUAUUUUGAAAACUCUGGAAACUAUAUCGGGCCGAUCCUCUGACUUUAGACCUUUAGCAUCAAGAUAUCUAACUAACUCUGGCCACUUUGGAUUGCAAGUAAAAGUGAUAAACAAAUCCGG